RNAcentral lists this non-coding RNA (22 nucleotides) under Arabidopsis thaliana (thale cress). The record is from RNAcentral. Lineage: Eukaryota; Viridiplantae; Streptophyta; Magnoliopsida; Brassicales; Brassicaceae.
AAGACAGUAAAGUAGAUGAUGG